CUCUUCUUUCCUUUCGAUUUCUCGGUUGUUUGCCUCUCUCACUCCGCGUCAACCAAAACCCUCUCUCGUGACAAAAUUUCCAAAUCAAGGUCUAACACAAAUCCUUGAAUCCUUAAUCCGUGAAUCAAAAACCUUGAAUCCUUAAUCCGUGAAUCGAAAACCUAUCUGAAAUAAAAAAAAACCUCCAAUUGAAACAUUCAUAACCCUAAAAAUUUGAUAUUUUCCCUGAAAUAAAAAAAAAAACCCUUGUUCUGUGAUAAUGAUUGUUCUUCGAUCUACUAGCUAACGAUUGAGCUAGGGUUUUUCAAUUUGGGGAUUUUCUGACUCUGUUAGUGAAGAUGAUAUAUAUCGGCAACCCAGCAAGUGGGUGGACUUAUAGGAACAUUGUUAUCCUGGCUCUCUUGCUUGGUUCAGAUGACUGAGGGAACCCAGGUGAAGAUGAAGCAAGGAUGGAAAUAUGCUAAGUAUCUACCAGACAUUACUUUGCUUUUGAGGCCCUUGUUUCUGAGGAACUUUCUUACAAGAUCAAGGGAUUGCCUGGAGUGCUUUGGGUUCUUCCAGAUUCUUACUUGAAUGUGAGAGAGAAAGAUUAUGGAGUGUACACUCCUCAAAUUGAUGGAAAGGAGUUAUUCCACGUCCGUGAAGCCAGGAGUUGUCUUUCUUACGAGCAGUUCAGUACAAUUCUUUCCAACAUCAAGGAGCUGAAUUCUCAAAAUCAAACUCAAGAGGAAACGUGAAGGAAGGCAGAAGAAUUAUUUGGUGGUACGUACAACAAAGAUCUUUACCGAUCAUUGCCGCUUAAUUGUAACAACCACUAGGACUUAAAGGUGUAUUCCAAAGAUGGUGCAUCAUAAUAAGUAGGCUGCAUCUCUCUUUCUCUCUUUCACGCACAUAUGCACCAACAAAAAGAUAAUUGCAUGUCCCUGUGCACACACACAUAGCACUAAAAUAUGGGAGUCUUGGGACUCCAUAUGAGUGGAAAGUUUACAAAAUUGCGCAAAGAAGCCAAAGAAACCAAACUGUGGAAAUUGGAUAUUAGGAGAUUGGAUGGGAGUGAAAGAGAAGUUAUUGAUAGUCACUGGGCACACCAUUCUCUCUAUGAUGUUACAGGAUCUGAUACCAGAAGUUGUUACCCCCAAUCGUUCCAAGCGGUCAUUAAAAUUGUGUAUAUUUUUGGUUGAUGUAUGAUGUGUGAUCCUUACUGUGGAUUACGAGUUUAUUUCCCCAAGUGAAAUACACUGGAUAUGAGUAUAUGACAAUUUUGGAAUGUGUGAAUGGAGAUAUUGGAAUUUGUGAA
Papaver somniferum (opium poppy) is the source of this 1297-nucleotide long non-coding RNA. RefSeq lists it as uncharacterized. Lineage: Eukaryota; Viridiplantae; Streptophyta; Magnoliopsida; Ranunculales; Papaveraceae. The record is from RefSeq and is a predicted model, not a curated record. The transcript is spliced from 8 exons.